Long non-coding RNA from Eriocheir sinensis (Chinese mitten crab), 357 nucleotides. RefSeq lists it as uncharacterized. Lineage: Eukaryota; Metazoa; Arthropoda; Malacostraca; Decapoda; Varunidae. The record is from RefSeq and is a predicted model, not a curated record. The transcript is spliced from 4 exons.
ACUGACAUACAAGGGGUGCAGGUUAUCUCAUUUAUCACAUUUACUGACAUACAAGGGGUGCAGGUUAUCUCAUUUAUCACAUUUACUGACAUACAAGGGGUGCAGGUUAUCUCAUUUAUCACAUUUACUGACAUACAAGGGGUGCAGGUUAUCUCAUUUAUCACAUUUACUGACAUACAAGGGGUGCAGGUUAUCUCAUUUAUCACAUUUACUGACAUACAAGGGGUGCAGGUUAUCUCAUUUAUCACAUUUACUGACAUACAAGGGGUGCAGGUUAUCUCAUUUAUCACAUUUACUGACAUACAAGGGGUGCAGGUUAUCUCAUUUAUCACAUUUAUCGACAUACAAGGGGUGCGG